Herpailurus yagouaroundi (jaguarundi) is the source of this 1504-nucleotide long non-coding RNA. RefSeq lists it as uncharacterized. NCBI's taxonomy places the organism in Eukaryota, Metazoa, Chordata, Mammalia, Carnivora, Felidae. The transcript is spliced from 2 exons. The record is from RefSeq and is a predicted model, not a curated record.
CUGGGACACAGGAAGCCGGGGAACUUGGGUUUUCUUUAAGGAGUGAAUGGAGAGGGGAGCGUGAAAGGGAAAGACGGCCAUCUUCCCAGUCACAUGAGCAGUUGCACCAGGACCGCCAGCCCGUUUUUCCCUCCCAGACCCCACCCCGCCCCGCCCUGCUCCGCUCUGGCCGCCAUGAUUGAAAGGGGCAGAUACUCAGCAGCUGAGCCUUGGGAGCGCCAUGAUUGUGAGGGGCGGACGGACCCGCUGAGCAGUUCGUCGGCGCCAUAAUCAUGAGGGGCAACGCACAUCUGCUAGCCUUUCGUCGGCGCCAUGAUCGUGCGUAGCAAACGCACUUCCGUUGUGCUGUGACGCCAUGAUUGUGAAGGGUAGAUGCCCUCACUCAAAAACGGUUAUGGGGACAGGAACCAGCAUCGAACAGCCAACGCUGUGGGCACCGUGAUCCUAAGGGGCAGGCAAACUUCCGCUGAGUGGUCCGCGACGCCAUGAUUGUGAAGGUCAGGCAUACGUCUCCCCACCCCCAUCCCGUCCACCACUUCCGGAGGGUACGUACACUUCUAGAGCGCCUCCCCAGAUGCCAUGAUUGUGAAGGGCAGGUAAACUUCCGGGGCACUAUCCUAGAGGCCGUAAUUGUGCCACCAUGAUUGUGAGGACAAACGUCCUCCCUCAGUGCCCAGAUAACGCUGUCAGCCAGCACUUAGUUGUGGGGGCGGGCGCCAGUGUCGAAAAACCGAUGCUUAUGCCGUUUGCCAGCACCGUUGUCGCAAUGGGCAGACACACUGCCGCUGCACUGCGACGCCAUGAUUAUGAGGGGCGAACAUACUUUCGGAGCGCUGUCCGCGGCGCCAUGAUUACGAGGGGUGGGCGUGCUUUCGCUGAGGAUCUCUAUGGCGCCAUGAUUGUGAUGGGCACGCGCCCUUCCUGGUGGGCUACUGUGGUGCCAUGAUAGUAAAGGGCGAACGCAUUUUCCCCUGCGUCGUGCGCGAUGCCAUGAUUGUGAGGGGCAAGGCGCCUGUGUCGUCCGCCAGUUGCCAUGAUUGUAAAGGGCAGACAUAGGCCCCCCCCCCCCGGGAGGCGUGUCCGCAACACUAAUGUACAGCGUGUUUGAGAAGGGGCAGCAGGCUGCCUAACCCACCUUCGCCUUCUGGGUGCUAACAAGAAUCCGGAGACAGGCGGAGCGAAGACGCUAACCGUGGCUGGGUGUGGGGAAAGGGUCUGUGGGGUUCGUGCGGUUUUACAGCUAAUUCGCUAUUUGGCUGGGGUAAACCAUGCCGACGCUUUCCCCUCCCCGCGUCUCUAAGGGUUGCCCUGGAUCCGAAUAGACCGCCUUCAUCUGGAGCAAAAUCACAUGAGGAAGUUGGGGCUAGCUUCUCACCCAGCUUGACAAAGCUGUACGUUUCUGUAAAGGUGGACACCGGCUUCAACCCCAGAACUUAUGUUGUCGUGUUUUCUUGGGUUACUAUGUAUACACACACACACACACACACACACACACACACACACA